UUUCCGUAGGUGAACCUGCGGAAGGAUCAUUAGUAGAACGGGCCCCGCUCCGGCGGACGCCCCACCUCCUAACUCUCACCCUGUGCACCGUGUCACCCCUUUUUCGCCCCUGUGCGAUCGAAAGUGAAGUCACGAAGUCGAAACGAAACACGAGAAGCAUAAAAUGAAGCAACGUAUCUCGUGGCUCUCGCAUCGAUGAAGAACGCAGC
RNAcentral lists this unclassified non-coding RNA (209 nucleotides) under uncultured fungus. Its description in RNAcentral is "sequence contains ITS1, 5.8S rRNA gene". The record is from RNAcentral. Lineage: Eukaryota; Fungi.